CCUACGGGCGGCUGCAGUCGAGAAUCAUUCACAAUGGGGGAAACCCUGAUGGUGCGACGCCGCGUGGGGGAAUGAAGGUCUUCGGAUUGUAAACCCCUGUCAUGUGGGAGCAAAUUAAAAAGAUAGUACCCCAAGAGGAAGAGACGGCUAACUCUGUGCCAGCAGCCGCGGUAAUACAGAGGUCUCAAGCGUUGUUCGGAAUCACUGGGCGUAAAGCGUGCGUAGGCUGUUUCGUAAGUCGUGUGUGAAAGGCGCGGGCUCAACCCGCGGACGGCACAUGAUACUGCGAGACUAGAGUAAUGGAGGGGGAACCGGAAUUCUCGGUGUAGCAGUGAAAUGCGUAGAUAUCGAGAGGAACACUCGUGGCGAAGGCGGGUUCCUGGACAGUAACUGACGCUGAGGCACGAAGGCCAGGGGAGCGAAAGGGAUUAGAUACCCGGGUAGUC
This 446-nucleotide ribosomal RNA is filed under the name uncultured bacterium. RNAcentral's name for it is "partial 16S ribosomal RNA". It matches the Rfam family "Bacterial small subunit ribosomal RNA", at positions 338 to 795 of the family's 1533-position model. The record is from RNAcentral.